RNAcentral lists this ribosomal RNA (1343 nucleotides) under uncultured bacterium. RNAcentral's name for it is "16S ribosomal RNA". It matches the Rfam family "Bacterial small subunit ribosomal RNA", at positions 28 to 1378 of the family's 1533-position model. The record is from RNAcentral.
GACGAACGCUGGCGGCGUGCUUAACACAUGCAAGUCGAUCGGAAAGGCCCUGCUUUUGUGGGGUGCUCGAGUGGCGAACGGGUGAGUAACACGUGAGUAACCUGCCCUUGACUUUGGGAUAACUUCAGGAAACUGGGGCUAAUACCGGAUAGGAGCUCCUGCUGCAUGGUGGGGGUUGGAAAGUUUCGGCGGUUGGGGAUGGACUCGCGGCUUAUCAGCUUGUUGGUGGGGUAGUGGCUUACCAAGGCUUUGACGGGUAGCCGGCCUGAGAGGGUGACCGGCCACAUUGGGACUGAGAUACGGCCCAGACUCCUACGGGAGGCAGCAGUGGGGAAUAUUGCACAAUGGGCGGAAGCCUGAUGCAGCAACGCCGCGUGCGGGAUGACGGCCUUCGGGUUGUAAACCGCUUUCGCCUGUGACGAAGCGUGAGUGACGGUAAUGGGUAAAGAAGCACCGGCUAACUACGUGCCAGCAGCCGCGGUGAUACGUAGGGUGCGAGCGUUGUCCGGAUUUAUUGGGCGUAAAGGGCUCGUAGGUGGUUGAUCGCGUCGGAAGUGUAAUCUUGGGGCUUAACCCUGAGCGUGCUUUCGAUACGGGUUGACUUGAGGAAGGUAGGGGAGAAUGGAAUUCCUGGUGGAGCGGUGGAAUGCGCAGAUAUCAGGAGGAACACCAGUGGCGAAGGCGGUUCUCUGGGCUUUUCCUGACGCUGAGGAGCGAAAGCGUGGGGAGCGAACAGGCUUAGAUACCCUGGUAGUCCACGCUGUAAACGGUGGGUACUAGGUGUGGGGUCCAUUCCACGGGUUCCGUGCCGUAGCUAACGCUUUAGGUACCCCGCCUGGGGAGUACGGCCGCAAGGCUAAAACUCAAAGGAAUUGACGGGGCCCCGCACAAGCGGCGGAGCAUGCGGAUUAAUUCGAUGCAACGCGUAGAACCUUACCUGGGUUUGACAUGGAUCGGGAGUGCUCAGAGAUGGGUGUGCCUCUUUUGGGGUCGGUUCACAGGUGGUGCAUGGCUGUCGUCAGCUCGUGUCGUGAGAUGUUGGGUUAAGUCCCGCAACGAGCGCAACCCUUGUUCACUGUUGCCAGCACGUUAUGGUGGGGACUCAGUGGAGACCGCCGGGGUCAACUCGGAGGAAGGUGGGGAUGACGUCAAGUCAUCAUGCCCCUUAUGUCCAGGGCUUCACGCAUGCUACAAUGGCUGGUACAGAGAGUGGCGAGCCUGUGAGGGUGAGCGAAUCUCGGAAAGCCGGUCUCAGUUCGGAUUGGGGUCUGCAACUCGACCUCAUGAAGUCGGAGUCGCCAGUAAUCGCAGAUCAGCAACGCUGCGGUGAAUACGUUCCCGGG